RNAcentral lists this long non-coding RNA (1146 nucleotides) under Meleagris gallopavo (turkey). RNAcentral's name for it is "lncRNA (ENSMGAG00000022656.1)". The record is from RNAcentral. Lineage: Eukaryota; Metazoa; Chordata; Aves; Galliformes; Phasianidae.
GGUAUCCUCCUGGCACUGUGGUGACCAUCUCCUUGGAUAAGGGACAUCUUCUGCCAUACAGCUCUUUCCCAGGGAUCUAAGUGAGAGAUGCUGAUUGUGCCAGAGCCAACAGAAGGAUGAGUGGAGCUCCAUUUUGGUUUGUUGCAGGGAGGGCAGUGAGUUGGGGCAGCCAUGCCCAGUCUAGGAGUGGAAUUCCUUCUCCUUGAUCAGUGGCCUGGUCUGAGAAGUUUGGUGAUGGCACCGAUUGGAGAGCACUGGAACUGCACCAAUGGGAGUGUUCCGAGAUUACCUCAACUAAUGAUCACCUCGUGCACGGGUGAGGUUGUAUCUUGGAGCUGAAUUCUUCAGAGACUGGCAUCUGGGCAGGAGCAUUUCUCCUGGUGGAACAGCUGACGUGUCUUGGACAUCAUGUUGGAUGUGAUGGACACAAUGCCAAAGAAGAGACAGUGCCAUUUGCACAUGAUAUGAGAAAAUCAAAAUUCGGGCUCAGCAUGUAUCUUCUGCAGAUCACCUGGGGCUUUAUCAGUUGAAUUAAAGUUUAUUCAUUUUGGUAUGAAAAUACGACAGUAGAUGAUAAUUGGAAGAGGAGACUGCAGAUGGCAAAGAACUAUUAAAAUCUGCAAAUCGUGCUCUGUGAGCCUGCUCUGAGUUCAAAUAUUUUACUGUAAAUUAAUUAUGGUCUUGCUGUCAAAGUGAGAAGAUGGGAGUAUUUAUGGAAGGGAAGCAAAGUGAUGUAAUCUAAAAAUAAAGUAGUUUAGGCUGAAUAAGAGAAAAAAAUGGGGACAAAAUCUUCCAGUAAUCUAGCUCUAGCUUCCUCAUCUUGAUGAUCAUUUGACUGAGUUUGUUCUCCACUGCUGCAAAAUAUUAUAAGAUCAAAAAGGCUGACCUAUAUGGAAAUUUCUGUUGGAAAAUGAGACGUGAUCACCCUGCUUUUCUGAUGCAAGUAAAGUUUAAUAAUAAUUCAAUCAAACAUAGAGAAAUAGAGUUGGAAAAAAAGCUCCAAACAACAAAACCACACCUCUUUGGGGAGAUCUUCCCCCUUUCCCAGCCUGUCUUUCAAAUAUGACAACGCUUUUUCUAUUUAGGCAGUGUUCUAUGCAAGUAGUGAGGCUAUUGGCCUAUGAGGGCAGGAGAAUCCUUAGGGAA